This 497-nucleotide ribosomal RNA is filed under the name uncultured bacterium. RNAcentral's name for it is "partial 16S ribosomal RNA". It matches the Rfam family "Bacterial small subunit ribosomal RNA", at positions 28 to 507 of the family's 1533-position model. The record is from RNAcentral.
GAUGAACGCUGGCGGCGUGCCUAAUACAUGCAAGUCGAGCGAACAGACGAGGAGCUUGCUCCUCUGACGUUAGCGGCGGACGGGUGAGUAACACGUGGAUAACCUACCUAUAAGACUGGGAUAACUUCGGGAAACCGGCGCUAAUACCGGAUAAUAUAUUGAACCGCAUGGUUCAAUAGUGAAAGACGGUUUUGCUGUCACUUAUAGAUGGAUACGCGCCGCAUUAGCUAGUUGGUAGGGUAACGGCUUACCAAGGCAACGAUGCGUAGCCGACCUGAGAGGGUGAUCGGCCACACUGGAACUGAGACGCGGUCCAGACUCCUGAGGGAGGGAGCAGAAGGGAAUGGUCCGCAGUAGGCGAGAGCCUGACGGAGCGACGCGGCGUGAGUGAUGAAGGUCUUCGGAUCGUAAAACUCUGUUAUUAGGGAAGAACAAAUGUGUAAGUAACUAUGCACGUCUUGACGGUACCUAAUCAGAAAGCCACGGCUAACUACGUG